RNAcentral lists this ribosomal RNA (894 nucleotides) under Candidatus Kaiserbacteria bacterium. RNAcentral's name for it is "partial 23S ribosomal RNA". It matches the Rfam family "Bacterial large subunit ribosomal RNA", at positions 11 to 836 of the family's 2925-position model. Lineage: Bacteria; Candidatus Kaiseribacteriota. The record is from RNAcentral.
AUAAGAGUACACGGUGGAUGCCUUGGCCUAGGACGGCUAUGAAGGACGCGACUAACCUGCGAAAAGCUUCGGGGAGGCGGUUUGUAGCCUUUGAUCCGGAGAUGUCCGAAUGGGGGAACCCUACAGUUUCGAACUGUAACCAGCGAGGUAACGCUUGCUUGGUGCGAACCCUGGGAAGUGAAACAUCUCAGUACCAGGAGGAAAAGAGAACAAUAUGAGUUGUGUUCAACUGGCGCGUAUGUUCGUGCUAGGUGAACGCAACUCGCGUGAUACCCUAAGUAGCGGCGAGCGAAAAGGGAAAAGCCCAAACCAGCGACCUCGGUUGCUGGGGUUGUAAGAUGCGAACAGCGUACUUGUACGCGAAGAGUUAUCAAUCGUCUAUAUAGCGGAAGCUGCUGGGAAGCAGCGCCCCAGAGGGUAAUGGCCCCGUACGCGAAAUAUAUGACGACUCUUGUUCGUAUUCUUGAGUAGGUCGAGACACGAAUAGCUCGACUGAAUCUGCCGGAACUAACCGGUAAGGCUAAAUACGUCCUAUGACCGAUAGUGAACUAGUACCGUGAGGGAAAGGUGAAAAGAACCCCGAGAGGGGAGUGAAAUAGACCUGAAACCGUGUACUUACAAGGGGUCGGAGCGGUGAGUUUAUUCGAACCGUGACGGCAUGCCUAUUGAAGAAUGAGCCGGCGAGUGUGUGUAUCUUGCGCAGCUAAGCCCUUCCGGGGUGGAGCUUAAGGGAAACCGAGCGUGAAUAGCGCGUCUGUAGGAUACAUACGACCCGAAGCCAGAUGAGCUUGCCAUGAGCAGGGUGAAAUGCGUCGAAAGACGCAUGGAGGCCCGAACUCGUAGAUCGUACAACGUCUUGGGAUGACUUGUGGCAAGGAGUGAAAAGCUAAUCGA